Molecule: ribosomal RNA, 493 nt
Filed under: uncultured bacterium
Lineage: Bacteria
Description: bacterial SSU rRNA
Rfam family: Bacterial small subunit ribosomal RNA
Source: RNAcentral
AGAGUUGAUCCUGGCUAGGACGAACGCUGGCGGCACGCUUAACACAUGCAAGUCGAACGGAGUUAAUUGGAGCUGCUUGAUUAACUAGUGGCGGACGGGUGAGUAACACGUGAGCAACCUGCCUUUAAGAGUGGAAUAGCUUCUGGAAACGGAUGGUAAUACCGCAUAACAUUGCCGGACCGCAUGAUCUGGCAAUCAAAGAUUUAUCGCUUAAAGAUGGGCUCGCGUCUGAUUAGAUAGUUGGUGGGGUAACGGCCUACCAAGUCGACGAUCAGUAGCCGGACUGAGAGGUUGAACGGCCACAUUGGGACUGAGACACGGCCCAGACUCCUACGGGAGGCAGCAGUGGGGAAUAUUGCACAAUGGGCGGAAGCCCUGAUGCAGCGAUGCCGCGUGGAGGAAGUAAGGUUUCGGAUUGUAAACUCCUUUUAUCAGGGACGAUAAUGACGGUACCUGAAGAAAAAGCUCCGGCUAACUACGUGCCAGCCGCCGC